AUUACUGGGNGUAAAGCGGGCGCAGACGGUUACUUAAGCAGGAUGUGAAAUCCCCGGGCUUAACCUGGGAACUGCGUUNUGAACUGGGUAGCUAGAGUAUNUCAGAGGGGGGUAGAAUUCCACGUGUAGCAGUGAAAUGCGUAGAGAUGUGGAGGGAUACCGAUGGCGAAGGCAGCCCCCUGGGAUAAUACUGACGUUCAUGCCCGAAAGCGUGGGUAGCAAACAGGAUUAGAUACCCUGGUAGUCCACGCCCCAACGAUGUCGAUUAGCUGUUGGGCAACUUGAUUGCUUAGUAGCGAAGCUAACGCGUGAAAUCGACCGCCUGGGGAGUACGGUCGCAAGAUUAAAACUCAAAGGAAUUGACGGGGACCCGCACAAGCGGUGGAUGAUGUGGAUUAAUUCGAUGCAACGCGAAGAACCUUACCUGGUCUUGACAUGUACGGAACCUUCCAGAGACGGAAGGGUGCCUUCGGGAGCCGUAACACAGGUGCUGCAUGGCUGUCGUCAGCUCGUGUCGUGAGAUGUUGGGUUAAGUCCCGCAACGAGCGCAACCCUUGUCAUUAGUUGCCAUCAUUAAGUUGGGCACUCUAAUGAGACUGCCGGUGACAAACCGGAGGAAGGUGGGGAUGACGUCAAGUCCUCAUGGCCCUUAUGACCAGGGCUUCACACGUCAUACAAUGGUCGGUACAGAGGGUAGCCAAGCCGCGAGGUGGAGCCAAUCCCAGAAAACCGAUCGUAGUCCGGAUUGCACUCUGCAACUC
RNAcentral lists this ribosomal RNA (761 nucleotides) under uncultured bacterium. RNAcentral's name for it is "bacterial SSU rRNA". It matches the Rfam family "Bacterial small subunit ribosomal RNA", at positions 550 to 1313 of the family's 1533-position model. The record is from RNAcentral.